This 292-nucleotide ribosomal RNA is filed under the name uncultured Acidobacteriota bacterium. Its description in RNAcentral is "uncultured Acidobacteria bacterium partial 16S ribosomal RNA". Lineage: Bacteria; Pseudomonadati; Acidobacteriota. The record is from RNAcentral.
GGACUACAAGGGUAUCUAAUCCUGUUUGCUACCCACGCUUUCGUGUCUCAGCGUCAGUUACGGUCCAGAGAGCCGUCUACACCACCGGUGUUCCUCCUGAUAUCUACGCAUUUCACCGCUACACCAGGAAUUCCACUCUCCUCUCCCGCACUCUAGCUCCUCAGUAUUCGGCGCACCCUCCCAGUUAAGCCGGGAGAUUUCACACCAAACUUAGGGAGCCGCCUACACACCCUUUACGCCCAGUAACUCCGAACAACGCUUGCUGCCUACGUAUUACCGCGGCUGCUGGCAC